Molecule: long non-coding RNA, 767 nt
Organism: Lactuca sativa (garden lettuce)
Lineage: Eukaryota; Viridiplantae; Streptophyta; Magnoliopsida; Asterales; Asteraceae
Source: RefSeq, a predicted model, not a curated record
UCAGAAUUCAGUUCAUGUUCUCAUUUUUACAAAACCAUUACCCGCUUGAAACCCGACGGGUAUCAAUUCGCUCGGGUCUGCUAUCUUAUUAAUUAAAAAGGGCUGAAACUUGAAAGUAUUGCGUCACAUUUUCUCUCAUCAGUUCACUCAUCCCAAUUCAAACUCCCAAAGUUCCUGCUCCAAUGAAGAUUUAAACUUUUUGAAGCAUCGAUCCCUUAUCUCCGACUAUGCGUGCACACCUCACUCAGGUGUUGGUUUGCUCAGCAAUCAAAUGGCAGCCAUUAGAGGUCUAUUGAGGUCAAAACUACGAUUAUCAGAAUACCCAUUUUGAAACUCUACAUCUCUUCUUAUUCUUCUGGCACUACAUCACCAUUAGCAUUCAAUCACACAACCAAAACUGUUUACGAUAUCUGUCAUUACCAAUACCAGUUUCAUACAUGUUUGAGGCCUCGCUAUUACCUAGAGGUUCCCUUUGGAGAGGAAAGAAAAUGAUUGGUAAAGAAGCUGUUUUUGUUAUUUUGGGGUUAAAGAGAGUCGAAGAUGAUGAAGAAAAACUGGAAAUUAAGAAAGAUCAAGAUGUUGUACCAUUAUGUUCUUUCAAGCCAACCAAACAUGACAAUGGAAUGUAAUAAUCCAUUCCAUUACCUUGCUGAUUCCUACGGUGUUCAUCCUAUUCCUUUGUGAUUCCAUUUCAUGAUACCAUAACCAAACACAGACCUUUAGUUGUCUUGUUUGUUUUCCAAGUACUUAUUUAUUGAAUUUCCAGA